This is a long non-coding RNA of Phascolarctos cinereus (koala), 1046 nucleotides long. RefSeq lists it as uncharacterized. The record is from RefSeq and is a predicted model, not a curated record. Lineage: Eukaryota; Metazoa; Chordata; Mammalia; Diprotodontia; Phascolarctidae.
AAGGACCUACACCAGCCUCUAAAUUAAUCAGAAGAACAAAGCCUAGCUCAUAGUGACCUCCUGCCAAGGUUGUCCAGGGAUAUAUCUUUGAGCACAUGUUAUUAAAGGGAUUAUUAAAAGGAACAUCAAGAAGUGGAGAUCACAAAGAGAAAUGAACUACAUCAAAAGCAGGUCUUACAUGAACACCAUCUCUCUUAUUGCCUGCCUGGUCAACCCGUCUUAGUAUCCUUUACUGGAUCAUCAUCCUUAUUUCCAACCUAUCACGUUGUGGAAGUCCCUGUUGCAACAGAGGCCCAGGGUAUCCAGCCCAGUCCUCUUUCAGCACAGAGUGGCCUGCCCUAUGAAAGAAUCCUGUCCUGGAAUAUCCUGCUUGGCAAAACACCUGGGUACUGCACUCAGAGGCAAUGUUGCAGAUAAAAAGGAGGUGGGUGGCUCAGGGCCUUUGUGGAACAAGACACUCGAUUGUGUAGAGCUGUUUUUUCAGUACACACAUGUUUCAUCUGCUGCUGGCUUCAGGGAAGUAACAUGGAGAGGUAGAACCAUAUGCUUUGCCCAUCUGUCUGGGGGCACUGAGCAAGCACUGGUGUCUUCCAGGGAGGCUUCCCUGAGAUCCCAACCCACCAAGUUCUCACCCUCCUCCAAGAUCUAGCGUAUUUAGAAGGGACCCCUCUGAAUGGUAGGUGCCAAAAGCUUACAAGAUUAAGAGCUCCUUAAAAACAAAAACAAAACAAAAGACCCUGGCACACUUCUUGUACUUCCAUAGGCACUAACCCAAUUCAUUAGGACUAUAAGUGCACAUUAAGUAGUACCUGGGUGAGUGGUUGAUUGGUUGAUUAGAUUGCAAAUCACGGAGUUAAAUUGGCCUAUGUAUAUAUUGGACAGAGCAAAGAAUGCCAGGUUUGGAGGUGAAGGACUAGGGUGUGUGUGCCUGCUGUGUUACUUACUACGAGUGCGACCUCAGGCAUGUCUCUUUACUUUCGUAGGCCUCAAUUUCUUCAUUUGAAAAAGUGGCUGAUAAGAGGAGAGCAAGGAAUAGUUUCCCUGUA